This is a long non-coding RNA of Panicum virgatum (switchgrass), 702 nucleotides long. RefSeq lists it as uncharacterized. Lineage: Eukaryota; Viridiplantae; Streptophyta; Magnoliopsida; Poales; Poaceae. The transcript has 2 exons. The record is from RefSeq and is a predicted model, not a curated record.
CGCCGCCGCUGGACUCUGGUGCUCCGGAUCUCGCGUAAGUACCUCUAUCCUUUCAUCUCGCUCUAGCACAGACGCUCUCGGCCUCUCGAUCUCUCACUCUCCUCACCUUUUUCUGUAGAUGUAGACGAGAUCCGUCGAGGAACCAGGGCCGGGGGGCUAGAUCCGUGCUUCAUCGACCUCGCCGGUGUACCUGGUGCUCCGGCUACAAAGCUGUUGAGGAACCAGGUAACUGGCGAGUGACGAUGGCCGGAUCUGACGACGAGACGGUGGAGCUCGGUGUUACCGAGAACGAGGAGCGGCGAUUGUGCGGGAUGGCCGGAGAUGAUGACGAGGAUGACUUGCGCGAGGACCGUGAUGCCUUGUUCGGCCCUGGUGCUGAUGAUCCCAUCAACGUCGACGAUGAUGGCCCUGCUGUACCUGCCUGCGGCGGUGCACCUCCCCCAGACGGUAACAGCGCCAAGCGCUCACGUCCCUCUACCUCUCCUGUUUGGGAUGAUUUCGAGAAGCUGUUCAAAACCACAGCUGAUGGUAAGACCGUCAGGUAUGGAGCUAGGUGCCUACAUUGCUCUAAGAUCUACUCUGGUUUUUCUAGUGGUGGCACUGGUCAUCUUUCACGCCACAUUGCCUCUUGUGUUAAGAGGCGUGAAAAAACUCGCAUGUCUCAGUCUCAAAUCUCUUUUAAUCCUGAUGGUAGUAUGCGUA